This 87-nucleotide unclassified non-coding RNA is filed under the name Pseudomonas poae. The record is from RNAcentral. Lineage: Bacteria; Pseudomonadati; Pseudomonadota; Gammaproteobacteria; Pseudomonadales; Pseudomonadaceae.
UGUGGGAGCUGGCUUGCCUGCGACGCAGGCACCUCGGUGCAUCAGCCAAACCGAGUCGAUGCUUUCGCAGGCAAGCCAGCUCCCACA